ACAGGGAUUGCCCUAGUAACGGCGAGUGAAGCGGCAACAGCUCAAAUUUGAAAUCUGGCUCUUUUAGAGUCCGAGUUGUAAUUUGCAGAGGGCGCUUUGGCUUUGGCAGCGGUCCAAGUUCCUUGGAACAGGACGUCACAGAGGGUGAGAAUCCCGUACGUGGUCGCUGGCUAUUGCCGUGUAAAGCCCCUUCGACGAGUCGAGUUGUUUGGGAAUGCAGCUCUAAAUGGGAGGUACAUUUCUUCUAAAGCUAAAUAUUGGCCAGAGACCGAUAGCGCACAAGUAGAGUGAUCGAAAGAUGAAAAGCACUUUGGAAAGAGAGUCAAACAGCACGUGAAAUUGUUGAAAGGGAAGCGCUUGCAGCCAGACUUGCUUACAGUUGCUCAUCCGGGUUUCUACCCGGUGCACUCUUCUGUAGGCAGGCCAGCAUCAGUUUGGGCGGUAGGAUAAAGGUCUCUGUCACGUACCUCCUUUCGGGGAGGCCUUAUAGGGGAGACGACAUACUACCAGCCUGGACUGAGGUCCGCGCAUCUGCUAGGAUGCUGGCGUAAUGGCUGUAAGCGGCCCGUCUUGAAACACGGACCAAGGAGUCUAACAUCUAUGCGAGUGUUUGGGUGUCAAGCCCGAGCGCGUAAUGAAAGUGAACGGAGGUGGGAACCCGCAAGGGUGCACCAUCGACCGAUCCUGAUGUCUUCGGAAGGAUUUGAGUAAGAGCAUGGCUGUUGGGACCCGAAAGAUGGUGAACUAUGCUUGAAUAGGGUGAAGCCAGAGGAAACUCUGGUGGAGGCUCGCAGCGGUUCUGACGUGCAAAUCGAUCGUCAAAUUUGGGCAUAGGGGCGA
Molecule: ribosomal RNA, 840 nt
Filed under: Alternaria tenuissima
Lineage: Eukaryota; Fungi; Ascomycota; Dothideomycetes; Pleosporales; Pleosporaceae
Description: partial large subunit ribosomal RNA
Rfam family: Eukaryotic large subunit ribosomal RNA
Source: RNAcentral